Non-coding RNA from Cyanistes caeruleus (blue tit), 1104 nucleotides. The record is from RefSeq and is a predicted model, not a curated record. NCBI's taxonomy places the organism in Eukaryota, Metazoa, Chordata, Aves, Passeriformes, Paridae.
GAGCUGCCUCCAGCUCUGGGGUCCCAAAACAGGAAGGAUGUGGACUUGUUACUCCUGGGUUCAGAGUGGAGCCACAGAAAUAAUCAGAGGGCAGAAACACUUCUCCUGUUAGGAGAGACUGAGGGAGCUGGGAUUGUUCAGCUUGGAGGAUACUUGUGGCAGAUUUUAUUGUACCCUUCCAAUAAUUAAAGUGGGCUUAUAAGAAAGAUGGAGAUACACUUUGUACCAAGGCCUGUAGUGAAAGUACAAUGAUUUUAAAUUAAAAGAGGUUACAUUUAGAUUUGAUUUAAAGAAGAAUUUUUUACAAGGAGGAUAGUGAGACACUGGAAAAAGUUUACUCAGGAAGUUGUUGAUGCCACAACACUGGAGGUAUUCAAGUUCAAGUGUGGAUGAAGAAACCUGAUCUAGUAACAUACGUUCUCGCCCAUGACAGUGCAAGAAUAAAUCUCAGAAAGUCCAGAAGGUGGAAUCUGACCACGUAGUUUGAUGCCAUGGGUGGUUUCACAGAAGCAUGUCACAUCCUCUACUAUAAUUAAGUCUGUAAAGGUGAAUACAUGAGAUGCUUGUCUGAUCAGCCCUUCCACACAUAUAAUAUUGGGAUUUUCCAAGAAAGAAGAUGAAGACAGAUUGAUUCAAAGAUGAUCCAGUGAAAACAUUCCUGCAAAGGCCUUUCUAUAUCUUCCUAAGUGACAUGGAAGUUGGGAUCAAGUAUAAACUUACCAAGUUUGCCAAUGAUACCAAACUGAGUGGUGAAGUGGGCACUUUGGCAGGGGGAGCCACCCUGCAAGAAGACCUGGAUAGGCUGAAAGAGUGGGCUAACUAGACAAGUGUGAAAUAUUGCACCUGGAAAAAUAUAAUCCAGGAGUGCAGGACAAGCUAGGAUCUACCUGGCUGUGGAAGGGUCUUGGACAACAAGUCCAUAUGAGUGAGCACUAUGAUGAUGCCAGAAAGGAAACCAAUGUGAUUUUGUGCUGCAUCAACAAGAGCAUGACCAGCAGAGACAAAAAAGCCAUCUUUCUAAUCUACUCAGCUCUGGUCAAGCCACAGGUGGAAUACUGUGCUCAGUUCUUAUCCCCACUGUUAUAAAUUUGUAUUGUGAUACUG